Molecule: long non-coding RNA, 251 nt
Filed under: Pongo abelii (Sumatran orangutan)
Lineage: Eukaryota; Metazoa; Chordata; Mammalia; Primates; Hominidae
Description: lincRNA
Source: RNAcentral
CCAGCAGUUUCCUCUGCCUGGAACACUCUUUCCACAGCGCUGGAUUACAACUGCUGGUCUCCCUGCCUGCCUUCCCCUGCUUCCCAGAGCACGAAGAGGCGUGCCUCCGCAACCCACUAUUUGUGUGACCUUGGUCCAGGAACUGGACUGGGCUCUCCUCCUGAAAGUGGGUAAAUAAUGUCACCGACCUAAUGAGGCUGUUGAGGCAUGGAAUCUGAUCAGGCAGAUAAAGUGCCCCUGGCAAACCUCAA